Molecule: transfer RNA, 85 nt
Filed under: Felis catus (domestic cat)
Lineage: Eukaryota; Metazoa; Chordata; Mammalia; Carnivora; Felidae
Rfam family: tRNA
About the family: Transfer RNA (tRNA) molecules are approximately 80 nucleotides in length. Their secondary structure includes four short double-helical elements and three loops (D, anti-codon, and T loops).
Source: Rfam by way of RNAcentral
GCUUGGGUGGCUCAGUCGGUUGAGCGUCUGAUUUUGGCUCAGGUCACGAUCUUACGGUUCGUGAGUUCAAGCCCCGCAUUGGGCU